Molecule: ribosomal RNA, 484 nt
Filed under: [Candida] sp. 3-2
Lineage: Eukaryota; Fungi; Ascomycota; Saccharomycetes; Saccharomycetales
Also listed under: 8 other names
Description: eukaryotic LSU rRNA
Rfam family: Eukaryotic large subunit ribosomal RNA
Source: RNAcentral
AAACCAACCGGGAUUGCCUCAGUAACGGCGAGUGAAGCGGCAACAGCUCAAAUUUGAAAGCCCGCGGGCGUUGUAAUUUGCAGGCGGAUGUUUUGGGGCGGGCGCUGUCUACGUUCCUUGGAACAGGACGCCGCAGAGGGUGAGAGCCCCGUGCGAUGGCGCCUUUAACCGCGUAAAACUCCGCCGACGAGUCGAGUUGUUUGGGAAUGCAGCUCCAAGUGGGUGGUAAAUUCCAUCUAAAGCUAAAUACUGGCGAGAGACCGAUAGCGAACAAGUACAGUGAUGGAAAGAUGAAAAGCACUUUGAAAAGAGAGUGAAACAGCACGUGAAAUUGUUGAAAGGGAAGGGUAUGCGAUUAGCGGCCAGCAGGAGGUGCGUUCUCGCGAAAAGGCCGUGCACCGUCUUCGGACACCGUGCGCGGAGAUGGCGAGGGGGCGCCUGAGGUCUGCGACUCGAGGUUGCUGGCGUAAUGAUUGCAUACCAC